AAAUUGAAGAGUUUGAUCAUGGCUCAGAUUGAACGCUGGCGGCAGGCCUAACACAUGCAAGUCGAACGGUAACAGGAAGCAGCUUGCUGCUUUGCUGACAAGUGGCGGACGGGUGAGUAAUGUCUGGGAAACUGCCUGAUGGAGGGGGAUAACUACUGGAAACGGUAGCUAAUACCGCAUAACGUCGCAAGACCAAAGAGGGGGACCUUCGGGCCUCUUGCCAUUGGAUGUGCCCAGAUGGGAUUAGCUAGUAGGUGGGGUAACGGCUCACCUAGGCGACGAUCCCUAGCUGGUCUGAGAGGAUGACCAGCCACACUGGAACUGAGACACGGUCCAGACUCCUACGGGAGGCAGCAGUGGGGAAUAUUGCACAAUGGGCGCAAGCCUGAUGCAGCCAUGCCGCGUGUAUGAAGAAGGCCUUCGGGUUGUAAAGUACUUUCAGCGGGGAGGAAGGGAGUAAAGUUAAUACCUUUGCUCAUUGACGUUACCCGCAGAAGAAGCAC
This 503-nucleotide ribosomal RNA is filed under the name Escherichia coli. RNAcentral's name for it is "bacterial SSU rRNA". It matches the Rfam family "Bacterial small subunit ribosomal RNA", at positions 1 to 493 of the family's 1533-position model. Lineage: Bacteria; Pseudomonadati; Pseudomonadota; Gammaproteobacteria; Enterobacterales; Enterobacteriaceae. The record is from RNAcentral.